UACGGAGGGUGCAAGCGUUAUCCGGAUUCACUGGGUUUAAAGGGAGCGUAGGUGGGUUGGUAAGUCAGUGGUGAAAUCCCCGAGCUUAACUUGGGAACUGCCAUUGAUACUAUCAGUCUUGAAUACUGUGGAGGUUAGCGGAAUAUGUCAUGUAGCGGUGAAAUGCUUAGAUAUGACAUAGAACACCAAUUGCGAAGGCAGCUGGCUACACAAUUAUUGACACCGAGGCUCGAAAGCGUGGGGAUCAAACAGG
RNAcentral lists this ribosomal RNA (253 nucleotides) under uncultured bacterium. Its description in RNAcentral is "partial 16S ribosomal RNA". It matches the Rfam family "Bacterial small subunit ribosomal RNA", at positions 524 to 776 of the family's 1533-position model. The record is from RNAcentral.